RNAcentral lists this ribosomal RNA (441 nucleotides) under uncultured bacterium. RNAcentral describes it as "partial 16S ribosomal RNA". It matches the Rfam family "Bacterial small subunit ribosomal RNA", at positions 338 to 795 of the family's 1533-position model. The record is from RNAcentral.
CCUACGGGUGGCAGCAGUGGGGAAUAUUGCACAAUGGGGGAAACGCUGAUGCAGCGACGCCGCGUGAGGGAAGAAGUAUUUCGGUGUUUAAAACUCUAUCAGCAGGGAAGAAGAAAGACGGUACCUGACUAAGAAGCCCCGGCUAACUACGUGCCAGCAGCCGCGGUAAGACGUAGGGGGCAAGCGUUAUCCGGAUUUACUGGGGGUAAAGGGAGCGUAGGCGGCUGUGCAAGGCUGAAGGGAAAGCCCAGGGCUCAACCCUGGGACUGCUUUGGAAACUGUGGCGCUAGAGUGCUGGAGGGGUAAGUGGAAUUCCUAGUGUAGCGGUGAAAUGCGUAGAUAUUAGGAGGAACACCAGUGGCGAAGGCGGCUUACUGGACAGUAACUGACGUUGAGGCUCGAAAGCGUGGGGAGCAAACAGGAUUAGAUACCCGGGUAGUC